GUGGGGAAUAUUGGACAAUGGGCGAAAGCCUGAUCCAGCCAUGCCGCGUGUGUGAAGAAGGUCUUCGGAUUGUAAAGCACUUUAAGUUGGGAGGAAGGGCAGUAAGUUAAUACCUUGCUGUUUUGACGUUACCGACAGAAUAAGCACCGGCUAACUUCGUGCCAGCAGCCGCGGUAAUACGAAGGGUGCAAGCGUUAAUCGGAAUUACUGGGCGUAAAGCGCGCGUAGGUGGUUCAGCAAGUUGAAGGUGAAAUCCCCGGGCUCAACCUGGGAACUGCCUCCAAAACUACUGAGCUAGAGUACGGUAGAGGGUAGUGGAAUUUCCUGUGUAGCGGUGAAAUGCGUAGAUAUAGGAAGGAACACCAGUGGCGAAGGCGACUACCUGGACUGAUACUGACACUGAGGUGCGAAAGCGUGGGGAGCAAACAGGAUUAGAUACCCGAGUAGUCC
Molecule: ribosomal RNA, 450 nt
Filed under: uncultured bacterium
Lineage: Bacteria
Description: bacterial SSU rRNA
Rfam family: Bacterial small subunit ribosomal RNA
Source: RNAcentral